This 722-nucleotide long non-coding RNA is filed under the name Homo sapiens (human). RNAcentral's name for it is "non-protein coding lnc-LPCAT1-4:18". The record is from RNAcentral. Lineage: Eukaryota; Metazoa; Chordata; Mammalia; Primates; Hominidae.
AAGCGGAAACAGACUGUCUGGGCCGCUGUUAAAAUGUCAGCAGCCAAGGAAGAAGCAGCGACCUGGCGUCUGCUCGGGCCAGGGUCGAUAAAGACAGGAGUGGAGUGAUAUCAGACACCGAGCUUCAGCAAGCUCUCUCCAACGGCACGUGGACUCCCUUUAAUCCAGUGACUGUCAGGUCGAUCAUAUACUACACUGAAGGCUGGUUACGCUCUUAUGUGCAAUAGAACCUCAAACACAUCGUAACACACCUUUGGAGAAUCCUUACAAGAACACCAAGUUAACAGUUAUCUCUGACCACACUACCUCAGCAAAAAACCAGGAAGAAAAAAUAUUCUUCAACCCUUUUCAGGGACAGAAAGCAUCAUUUCAAAAGUCCAAGAAGGGAAGCAAAACUUCUGACCUGAGACAUCGAAGCAGAUAAAAAGCCGCUACACAAAAUGUAUCGCUACAACUAGAGGGCAGUCUUGCCUUUCUUCCAUUCAAUUAUUCAGUUUCUCAUGUUCCUAAGUGCCAGCCCAGAACCAUGGAAUGUGAAGAAACACAAAACUCACUCCUCUGCAUCAGUGAAUUGAUUGUGUGGUGGGGAUGUAAGUCUGCAUGUGACUGACAGUUCCCCAAAGUGGUGCCAAGUCAAUCUAAACUAGAGAGAAUUUCUGGCCAGGCCAAGCAGAGAUUUCAUGGAUGAAGUCUCCCAAAGACUGAUUUCCUAAACAUUAAAC